This 454-nucleotide ribosomal RNA is filed under the name uncultured organism. RNAcentral's name for it is "partial 16S ribosomal RNA". It matches the Rfam family "Bacterial small subunit ribosomal RNA", at positions 329 to 800 of the family's 1533-position model. The record is from RNAcentral.
ACGUACACUCCUACGGGAGGCAGCAGUGGGGAAUAUUGGACAAUGGGCGCAAGCCUGAUCCAGCCAUGCCGCGUGAGUGAUGAAGGCCCUAGGGUUGUAAAGCUCUUUCACCGGUGAAGAUAAUGACGGUAACCGGAGAAGAAGCCCCGGCUAACUUCGUGCCAGCAGCCGCGGUAAUACGAAGGGGGCUAGCGUUGUUCGGAUUUACUGGGCGUAAAGCGCACGUAGGCGGACUAUUAAGUCAGGGGUGAAAUCCCGGGGCUCAACCCCGGAACUGCCUUUGAUACUGGUAGUCUUGAGUUCGAGAGAGGUGAGUGGAAUUCCGAGUGUAGAGGUGAAAUUCGUAGAUAUUCGGAGGAACACCAGUGGCGAAGGCGGCUCACUGGCUCGAUACUGACGCUGAGGUGCGAAAGCGUGGGGAGCAAACAGGAUUAGAACCCCAGUAGUCCCAUGA